Molecule: long non-coding RNA, 1004 nt
Filed under: Brassica napus (rape)
Lineage: Eukaryota; Viridiplantae; Streptophyta; Magnoliopsida; Brassicales; Brassicaceae
Description: long non-coding RNA (BNAP_LNC011231)
Source: RNAcentral
UGAAGAGUUGCAGGUGCAGUUCAUGAAUUUUUUUAUGAAGCAAGUCUACGGUAUCAUAUUAAGCUGAUGGUCACUUUAAAUCAGUAGUCAAGCCAUCAUAAACGGAAGAGUUUUUUUUUUUUUCGGCAUAUUAUCAAACCAUCAUAAACGGAAAAGUUUUUUUUUUUGUCGGCAUAUUAUAUAAAAGCCACAUGAGCCAGUUUUACAAAUCAGCUUCGAAAGUGGACAUAACCCAUUACAGAUUAAACCCAUUACAAACCCAAAAGAUAAAGAGGAUAAGAAUAAAUAAAUUCUGGCACGUGUCCCCCCAUUAUCUUUGGAUUCAGCAGAGCUACAUAGUCGUGAUUAUCACCACAUCUUGAUUAACUCUGACCGUCGCUUCGCCGCUUGCAUCGUCGUAUGAGCCAUGUCCAAAGAAGCUUAAGGUCUUUGCUCUUCACUUCAGACACCUAAACUUCUACCUUUGAAACUGAUUGAACACCUUUUGCUUUCUCCGGUUCAAGAGUCGGGUCUUGCUUAACCACCAGAAUAAAUUAAAACCGCAGAUGAUUGAGGUCUUAACACUCUUCAGAACACCGUCAGAUCAUGACAAGCAUGCAAAAAGUGAGAGAGAAAAUAAACCAACUCUAGUCGGAGCAUAAACCGAACAAAACGGAGAUGUACAAAGUAAAACUAAAAGCCGGACAAGCCGGAGGUGGUUCCGACUAUAGAUCGGAACUAAUCAGAAAACAAAAACAGAGCGGUAACCGACGGCGAUGAAGCCGACGGCCACCGAAACACAAACGCAAGAUCGAACUUCUAGUGAGAGGUUAGAGGUUUUAGAGAGAGAAAUGUGUUAACGUUCACUUCCAUAAACGAAAGAGUUUAAUUUGUAUUGAAGCAAGUCUACAAAAUUUGUAUCUAUUCAAGUUUACCCCAUGUUUUGUAGCACAAUUCAUCUUUACUUUUAUUAAAGGGACAUUCACAAAUAUUUUUUUCAUUAAAGAGGCAAAACACCAUUUUAC